Molecule: ribosomal RNA, 408 nt
Filed under: uncultured bacterium
Lineage: Bacteria
Description: partial 16S ribosomal RNA
Rfam family: Bacterial small subunit ribosomal RNA
Source: RNAcentral
GACGAACGCUGGCGGCGUGCUUAACACAUGCAAGUCGAACGAAGUGGCGAACGGGUGAGUAACGCGUAAUCAACCUGCCCUUCAGGGGGGGACAACAGUUGGAAACGACUGCUAAUCCCGCAUACUGAAGGAGGGGAUUGCGUCUGAUUGGCUCGUUGGGGGGGUAACGGCCCACCAAGGCGAUGAUCAGGAGCCGGGCUGGUAGGAUGAACGGCCACAAGGGGACUGAGACACGGCCCAGACUCCUACGGGAGGCAGCAGUGGGGAAUCUUCCGCAAUGGACGAAAGUCUGACGGAGCAACGCCGCGUGAGUGAUGACGGCCUUCGGGUUGUAAAGCUCUGUUAAUCGGGACGCGGUACCGGAAUAGAAAGCCACGGCUAACUACGUGCCAGCCGCCGCGGUAAUAC